RNAcentral lists this ribosomal RNA (2927 nucleotides) under Escherichia coli. RNAcentral describes it as "23S ribosomal RNA". It matches the Rfam family "Bacterial large subunit ribosomal RNA". The record is from RNAcentral. Lineage: Bacteria; Pseudomonadati; Pseudomonadota; Gammaproteobacteria; Enterobacterales; Enterobacteriaceae.
GGGUUGUGAGGUUAAGCGACUAAGCGUACACGGUGGAUGCCCUGGCAGUCAGAGGCGAUGAAGGACGUGCUAAUCUGCGAUAAGCGUCGGUAAGGUGAUAUGAACCGUUAUAACCGGCGAUUUCCGAAUGGGGAAACCCAGUGUGUUUCGACACACUAUCAUUAACUGAAUCCAUAGGUUAAUGAGGCGAACCGGGGGAACUGAAACAUCUAAGUACCCCGAGGAAAAGAAAUCAACCGAGAUUCCCCCAGUAGCGGCGAGCGAACGGGGAGCAGCCCAGAGCCUGAAUCAGUGUGUGUGUUAGUGGAAGCGUCUGGAAAGGCGCGCGAUACAGGGUGACAGCCCCGUACACAAAAAUGCACAUGCUGUGAGCUCGAUGAGUAGGGCGGGACACGUGGUAUCCUGUCUGAAUAUGGGGGGACCAUCCUCCAAGGCUAAAUACUCCUGACUGACCGAUAGUGAACCAGUACCGUGAGGGAAAGGCGAAAAGAACCCCGGCGAGGGGAGUGAAAAAGAACCUGAAACCGUGUACGUACAAGCAGUGGGAGCACGCUUAGGCGUGUGACUGCGUACCUUUUGUAUAAUGGGUCAGCGACUUAUAUUCUGUAGCAAGGUUAACCGAAUAGGGGAGCCGAAGGGAAACCGAGUCUUAACUGGGCGUUAAGUUGCAGGGUAUAGACCCGAAACCCGGUGAUCUAGCCAUGGGCAGGUUGAAGGUUGGGUAACACUAACUGGAGGACCGAACCGACUAAUGUUGAAAAAUUAGCGGAUGACUUGUGGCUGGGGGUGAAAGGCCAAUCAAACCGGGAGAUAGCUGGUUCUCCCCGAAAGCUAUUUAGGUAGCGCCUCGUGAAUUCAUCUCCGGGGGUAGAGCACUGUUUCGGCAAGGGGGUCAUCCCGACUUACCAACCCGAUGCAAACUGCGAAUACCGGAGAAUGUUAUCACGGGAGACACACGGCGGGUGCUAACGUCCGUCGUGAAGAGGGAAACAACCCAGACCGCCAGCUAAGGUCCCAAAGUCAUGGUUAAGUGGGAAACGAUGUGGGAAGGCCCAGACAGCCGUGAUGUUGGCUUAGAAGCAGCCAUCAUUUAAAGAAAGCGUAAUAGCUCACUGGUCGAGUCGGCCUGCGCGGAAGAUGUAACGGGGCUAAACCAUGCACCGAAGCUGCGGCAGCGACGCUUAUGCGUUGUUGGGUAGGGGAGCGUUCUGUAAGCCUGUGAAGGUGUGCUGUGAGGCAUGCUGGAGGUAUCAGAAGUGCGAAUGCUGACAUAAGUAACGAUAAAGCGGGUGAAAAGCCCGCUCGCCGGAAGACCAAGGGUUCCUGUCCAACGUUAAUCGGGGCAGGGUGAGUCGACCCCUAAGGCGAGGCCGAAAGGCGUAGUCGAUGGGAAACAGGUUAAUAUUCCUGUACUUGGUGUUACUGCGAAGGGGGGACGGAGAAGGCUAUGUUGGCCGGGCGACGGUUGUCCCGGUUUAAGCGUGUAGGCUGGUUUUCCAGGCAAAUCCGGAAAAUCAAGGCUGAGGCGUGAUGACGAGGCACUACGGUGCUGAAGCAACAAAUGCCCUGCUUCCAGGAAAAGCCUCUAAGCAUCAGGUAACAUCAAAUCGUACCCCAAACCGACACAGGUGGUCAGGUAGAGAAUACCAAGGCGCUUGAGAGAACUCGGGUGAAGGAACUAGGCAAAAUGGUGCCGUAACUUCGGGAGAAGGCACGCUGAUAUGUAGGUGAAGUCCCUCGCGGAUGGAGCUGAAAUCAGUCGAAGAUACCAGCUGGCUGCAACUGUUUAUUAAAAACACAGCACUGUGCAAACACGAAAGUGGACGUAUACGGUGUGACGCCUGCCCGGUGCCGGAAGGUUAAUUGAUGGGGUUAGCGGUAACGCGAAGCUCUUGAUCGAAGCCCCGGUAAACGGCGGCCGUAACUAUAACGGUCCUAAGGUAGCGAAAUUCCUUGUCGGGUAAGUUCCGACCUGCACGAAUGGCGUAAUGAUGGCCAGGCUGUCUCCACCCGAGACUCAGUGAAAUUGAACUCGCUGUGAAGAUGCAGUGUACCCGCGGCAAGACGGAAAGACCCCGUGAACCUUUACUAUAGCUUGACACUGAACAUUGAGCCUUGAUGUGUAGGAUAGGUGGGAGGCUUAGAAGUGUGGACGCCAGUCUGCAUGGAGCCGACCUUGAAAUACCACCCUUUAAUGUUUGAUGUUCUAACGUUGACCCGUAAUCCGGGUUGCGGACAGUGUCUGGUGGGUAGUUUGACUGGGGCGGUCUCCUCCUAAAGAGUAACGGAGGAGCACGAAGGUUGGCUAAUCCUGGUCGGACAUCAGGAGGUUAGUGCAAUGGCAUAAGCCAGCUUGACUGCGAGCGUGACGGCGCGAGCAGGUGCGAAAGCAGGUCAUAGUGAUCCGGUGGUUCUGAAUGGAAGGGCCAUCGCUCAACGGAUAAAAGGUACUCCGGGGAUAACAGGCUGAUACCGCCCAAGAGUUCAUAUCGACGGCGGUGUUUGGCACCUCGAUGUCGGCUCAUCACAUCCUGGGGCUGAAGUAGGUCCCAAGGGUAUGGCUGUUCGCCAUUUAAAGUGGUACGCGAGCUGGGUUUAGAACGUCGUGAGACAGUUCGGUCCCUAUCUGCCGUGGGCGCUGGAGAACUGAGGGGGGCUGCUCCUAGUACGAGAGGACCGGAGUGGACGCAUCACUGGUGUUCGGGUUGUCAUGCCAAUGGCACUGCCCGGUAGCUAAAUGCGGAAGAGAUAAGUGCUGAAAGCAUCUAAGCACGAAACUUGCCCCGAGAUGAGUUCUCCCUGACUCCUUGAGAGUCCUGAAGGAACGUUGAAGACGACGACGUUGAUAGGCCGGGUGUGUAAGCGCAGCGAUGCGUUGAGCUAACCGGUACUAAUGAACCGUGAGGCUUAACCUUACAACGCCGAAG